This 581-nucleotide ribosomal RNA is filed under the name uncultured bacterium. RNAcentral describes it as "partial 16S ribosomal RNA". It matches the Rfam family "Bacterial small subunit ribosomal RNA", at positions 355 to 932 of the family's 1533-position model. The record is from RNAcentral.
UGGGGAAUUUUGGACAAUGGGCGAAAGCCUGAUCCAGCAAUGCCGCGUGUGUGAAGAAGGCCUUCGGGUUGUAAAGCACUUUUGUCCGGAAAGAAAUCCUUGGCUCUAAUACAGUCGGGGGAUGACGGUACCGGAAGAAUAAGCACCGGCUAACUACGUGCCAGCAGCCGCGGUAAUACGUAGGGUGCAAGCGUUAAUCGGAAUUACUGGGCGUAAAGCGUGCGCAGGCGGUUUGCUAAGACCGAUGUGAAAUCCCCGGGCUCAACCUGGGAACUACAUUGGUGACUGGCAGGCUAGAGUAUGGCAGAGGGGGGUAGAAUUCCACGUGUAGCAGUGAAAUGCGUAGAGAUGUGGAGGAAUACCGAUGGCGAAGGCAGCCCCCUGGGCCAAUACUGACGCUCAUGCACGAAAGCGUGGGGAGCAAACAGGAUUAGAUACCCUGGUAGUCCACGCCCUAAACGAUGUCAACUAGUUGUUGGGGGAUUCAUUUUCCUUAGUAACGUAGCUAACGCGUGAAGUUGACCGCCUGGGGAGUACGGUCGCAAGAUUAAAACUCAAAUGAAUUGACGGGGUCAUAGCUG